RNAcentral lists this ribosomal RNA (430 nucleotides) under Strongylura notata (redfin needlefish). Its description in RNAcentral is "partial 12S ribosomal RNA". It matches the Rfam family "Bacterial small subunit ribosomal RNA", at positions 774 to 1405 of the family's 1533-position model. Lineage: Eukaryota; Metazoa; Chordata; Actinopteri; Beloniformes; Belonidae. The record is from RNAcentral.
GGGAUUAGAUACCCCACUAUGCACAGCCCUAAACUUUGAUAGUCAAGUACACCCACUAUCCGCCCGGGUACUACAAGCCCUAGCUUAAAAUCCAAAGGACUUGGCGGUGCUUUAGAUCCACCUAGAGGAGCCUGUCCUAGAACCGACAACCCCCGUUAAACCUCACCCUCCCUUGUUUAUUUCCCGCCUAUAUACCGCCGUCGUCAGCUUACCCUGUGAAGGAUUAAUAGUAAGCAAAGCCAGCACAGCUCAAAACGCCAGGUCGAGGUGUAGCGCAUGAGAGGGGAAGAGAUGGGCUACAUUCCCUAACCCAGGUAAUACGAAAAAUGCAAUGAAAAAAGCAUUAGAAGGAGGAUUUAGCAGUAAGAAGAAAACAGAGUGUUCUACUGAAACUGGCCCUGAAGCGCGCACACACCGCCCGUCACCCUAA